CCCUUAGAUGUUCUGGGCCGCACGCGCGCUACACUGAUGCAUUCAACGAGCCUAUCCUUGACCGACAGGUCCGGGUAAUCUUUGAAUCUGCAUCGUGACGGGGAUAGAUUAUUGCAAUUAUUAAUCUUCAACGAGGAAUACCUAGUAGGCGCAAGUCAUCAGCUUGCGUCGAUUACGUCCCUGCCCUUUGUACACACCGCCCGUCGCUCCUACCGAUUGGGUGUGCUGGUGAAAUGUUCGGAUCGGCCGUUUGUCGCGGUUUCCGCGUCAUGUGGCUGAGAAGUUCAUUAAACCCUCCCACCUAGAGGAAGGAGAAGUCGUAACA
Molecule: ribosomal RNA, 325 nt
Filed under: uncultured eukaryote
Lineage: Eukaryota
Description: partial 18S ribosomal RNA
Rfam family: Eukaryotic small subunit ribosomal RNA
Source: RNAcentral